GGUGAACGCUGGCGGCGUGCCUAAUACAUGCAAGUCGAGCGAACGGACGAGAAGCUUGCUUCUCUGAUGUUAGCGGCGGACGGGUGAGUAACACGUGGAUAACCUACCUAUAAGACUGGGAUAACUUCGGGAGACCGGAGCUAAUACCGGAUAAUAUUUUGAACCGCAUGGUUCAAAAGUGAAAGACGGUCUUGCUGUCACUUAUAGAUGGAUCCGCGCUGCAUUAGCUAGUUGGUAAGGUAACGGCUUACCAAGGCAACGAUGCAUAGCCGACCUGAGAGGGUGAUCGGCCACACUGGAACUGAGACACGGUCCAGACUCCUACGGGAGGCAGCAGUAGGGAAUCUUCCGCAAUGGGCGAAAGCCUGACGGAGCAACGCCGCGUGAGUGAUGAAGGUCUUCGGAUCGUAAAACUCUGUUAUUAGGGAAGAACAUAUGUGUAAGUAACUGUGCACAUCUUGACGGUACCUAAUCAGAAAGCCACGGCUAACUACGUGCCAGCAGCCGCGGUAAUACGUAGGUGGCAAGCGUUAUCCGGAAUUAUUGGGCGUAAAGCGCGCGUAGGCGGUUUUUUAAGUCUGAUGUGAAAGCCCACGGCUCAACCGUGGAGGGUCAUUGGAAACUGGAAAACUUGAGUGCAGAAGAGGAAAGUGGAAUUCCAUGUGUAGCGGUGAAAUGCGCAGAGAUAUGGAGGAACACCAGUGGCGAAGGCGACUUUCUGGUCUGUAACUGACGCUGAUGUGCGAAAGCGUGGGGAUCAAACAGGAUUAGAUACCCUGGUAGUCCACGCCGUAAACGAUGAGUGCUAAGUGUUAGGGGGUUUCCGCCCCUUAGUGCUGCAGCUAACGCAUUAAGCACUCCGCCUGGGGAGUACGACCGCAAGGUUGAAACUCAAAGGAAUUGACGGGGACCCGCACAAGCGGUGGAGCAUGUGGUUUAAUUCGAAGCAACGCGAAGAACCUUACCAAAUCUUGACAUCCUUUGACAACUCUAGAGAUAGAGCCUUCCCCUUCGGGGGACAAAGUGACAGGUGGUGCAUGGUUGUCGUCAGCUCGUGUCGUGAGAUGUUGGGUUAAGUCCCGCAACGAGCGCAACCCUUAAGCUUAGUUGCCAUCAUUAAGUUGGGCACUCUAAGUUGACUGCCGGUGACAAACCGGAGGAAGGUGGGGAUGACGUCAAAUCAUCAUGCCCCUUAUGAUUUGGGCUACACACGUGCUACAAUGGACAAUACAAAGGGCAGCGAAACCGCGAGGUCAAGCAAAUCCCAUAAAGUUGUUCUCAGUUCGGAUUGUAGUCUGCAACUCGACUACAUGAAGCUGGAAUCGCUAGUAAUCGUAGAUCAGCAUGCUACGGUGAAUACGUUCCCGGGUCU
This 1372-nucleotide ribosomal RNA is filed under the name uncultured bacterium. RNAcentral's name for it is "bacterial SSU rRNA". It matches the Rfam family "Bacterial small subunit ribosomal RNA", at positions 28 to 1381 of the family's 1533-position model. The record is from RNAcentral.